This 653-nucleotide ribosomal RNA is filed under the name uncultured bacterium. RNAcentral describes it as "bacterial SSU rRNA". It matches the Rfam family "Bacterial small subunit ribosomal RNA", at positions 233 to 885 of the family's 1533-position model. The record is from RNAcentral.
GCGGCCUAUCAGCUUGUUGGCGGGGUAAUGGCCCACCAAGGCGACGACGGGUAGCUGGUCUGAGAGGAUGGCCAGCCACAUUGGGACUGAGAGACGGCCCAGACUCCUACGGGAGGCAGCAGUGGGGAAUCUUGCGCAAUGGCCGAAAGGCUGACGCAGCGACGCCGCGUGUGGGAGGACGCCUUUCGGGGUGUAAACCACUGUUGCCCGGGACGAACAGCCUCAUUCGUGAGGUCUGACGGUACCGGGUGAGGAAGCACCGGCUAACUCCGUGCCAGCAGCCGCGGUAAUACGGAGGGUGCGAGCGUUGUCCGGAAUCAUUGGGCGUAAAGGGCGCGUAGGUGGCGGGACAAGCGUGCGGUGAAAGCUCGGGGCUCAACCCCGCGUCGGCCGUGCGAACUGCUUUGCUUGAGCACUGUAGAGGCAGGUGGAAUUCCGGGUGUAGCGGUGGAAUGCGUAGAGAUCCGGAAGAACACCGGUGGCGAAGGCGGCCUGCUGGGCAGUGGCUGACACUGAGGCGCGACAGCGUGGGGAGCAAACAGGAUUAGAUACCCUGGUAGUCCACGCCGUAAACGAUGGGCACUAGGCGCUUGGGGGAGCGACCCUCCGAGGGCCGGCGCUAACGCAUUAAGUGCCCCGCCUGGGGAGUACGG